Molecule: ribosomal RNA, 730 nt
Filed under: uncultured bacterium
Lineage: Bacteria
Description: bacterial SSU rRNA
Rfam family: Bacterial small subunit ribosomal RNA
Source: RNAcentral
AACAGGAUUAGAUACCCUGGUAGUCCACGCCGUAAACGAUGUCGACUUGGAGGUUGUGCCCUUGAGGCGUGGCUUCCGGAGCUAACGCGUUAAGUCGACCGCCUGGGGAGUACGGCCGCAAGGUUAAAACUCAAAUGAAUUGACGGGGGCCCGCACAAGCGGUGGAGCAUGUGGUUCAAUUCGAUGCAACGCGAAGAACCUUACCUACUCUUGACAUCCAGAGAACUUAGCAGAGAUGCUUUGGUGCCUUCGGGAACUCUGAGACAGGUGCUGCAUGGCUGUCGUCAGCUCGUGUUGUGAAAUGUUGGGUUAAGUCCCGCAACGAGCGCAACCCUUAUCCUUUGUUGCCAGCGGUUAGGCCGGGAACUCAAAGGAGACUGCCAGUGAUAAACUGGAGGAAGGUGGGGAUGACGUCAAGUCAUCAUGGCCCUUACGAGUAGGGCUACACACGUGCUACAAUGGCAUAUACAAAGAGAAGCGACCUCGCGAGAGCAAGCGGACCUCAUAAAGUAUGUCGUAGUCCGGAUUGGAGUCUGCAACUCGGCUCCAUGAAGUCGGAAUCGCUAGUAAUCGUGGAUCAGAAUGCCACGGUGAAUACGUUCCCGGGCCUUGUACACACCGCCCGUCACACCAUGGGAGUGGGUUGCAAAAGAAGUAGGUAGCUUAACCUUCGGGAGGGCGCUUACCACUUUGUGAUUCAUGACUGGGGUGAAGUCGUAACAAGGUAACC